Molecule: ribosomal RNA, 229 nt
Filed under: uncultured bacterium
Lineage: Bacteria
Description: partial 16S ribosomal RNA
Rfam family: Bacterial small subunit ribosomal RNA
Source: RNAcentral
UGCGUAGGUGGUUAAUUAAGUCAGAUGUGAAAUCCCUAGGCUCAACCUAGGAAUUGCAUUUGAAACUGUUUAGCUAGAGUAUAGUAGAGGGAAGUGGAAUUUCCGGUGUAGCGGUGAAAUGCGUAGAUAUCGGAAGGAACACCAGUGGCGAAGGCGACUUCCUGGACUGUUACUGACACUGAGGCACGAAAGCGUGGGGAGCGAACAGGAUUAGAUACCCUGGUAGUCC